RNAcentral lists this long non-coding RNA (878 nucleotides) under Marmota monax (woodchuck). Lineage: Eukaryota; Metazoa; Chordata; Mammalia; Rodentia; Sciuridae. The record is from RNAcentral.
GCUCAUUCAAGUCGAAUCAGAAUUCUCCAUUAUUUAUUUAUAUAAUAUUUACAUAUUUAGGAUAUCUGCUUCUAAAAGCAAAACAAGGCUUCAUAAAGAUGUCUGUUUGGUAAAUAAAAUUCCCUGAAAAAAAUGUGAAGUUGUCCCUCAAAAAAAUGGCAAAGUUCUUAUGGAAAUUAUGUUUGUUUUAGGCUCUGCCACCACUAACUAAGCUGAAGCCCAGCCAGUCUCUUUUACAUCUUAAACCACUAGAAAGAACAGGCCUGGGAGGGAUGUGUGGAAGUUCAGAGGCUCUGGAGACGAGAAAAGGAUUUACACACUUCAAUGUCAAAGUUCAACAGGGCAUGGCGGCCCCUAAAGAUGGCACUGAAAUAGCAGAUACGCACAGAGUUCUGUCGGCCGAGAAUGCCAAAACAUGGAGAAACCUCAUAGAUGGCUUGACAUGCAGCCCCAAUGGGAAAGGACACAGGGAAAUUUGAGAUGUUUCCUGUAACUGAAAAUGGAUGAUUUAGAGGUCAUGUUAAACCAUCUGAACAAUGAGUUUUGGUCAUCAUUAUAUCUAAGGCAAACAAAGAGAGCCAUAUAGUAGAAUGUUUUUGGUGUUAUUAAGGAAAAUCACACUGUAACUGUGAAAUUAGUCCCUGACUUAUUACCGACAUAUUAGUGUUUCAAUACUACUAGAUCGCCCAUGUGGGUGCUUAAUUUCACAAACAUUUGAAAGAAUCUGAUUAAGAUAGGCUAUUAUGGGCUGGGGAUGUGGCUCAAGCGGUAGCGUGCUUGCCUGGCAUGCGCGGGGCGCUGGGGUCGACCCUCAGCACCACAUAAAAGUGAAAUGGAGAUGUUGUGUCCACCGAAAAACUAAAAAAUAAAUAUUAAAA